Molecule: long non-coding RNA, 143 nt
Organism: Dermochelys coriacea (leatherback sea turtle)
Lineage: Eukaryota; Metazoa; Chordata; Testudines; Dermochelyidae
Exons: 2
Source: RefSeq, a predicted model, not a curated record
UCAUGGAUUGGUAACUGGUUAAAAGAUAGGAAACAAAGGGUAGGUUGCCUAGCUCCCAGGAUCCCAAAUACCAUACCAGAUAUUUUGAAACUCUAUGGCCACACAAGAAGUGAUAGGAUUUGCUAAUAAAUGUUAUUAAUUUU